This 468-nucleotide ribosomal RNA is filed under the name uncultured bacterium. Its description in RNAcentral is "partial 16S ribosomal RNA". It matches the Rfam family "Bacterial small subunit ribosomal RNA", at positions 28 to 507 of the family's 1533-position model. The record is from RNAcentral.
GACGAACGCUGGCGGCGUGCUUAACACAUGCAAGUCGAACGGAAAGGCCCUGCUUUUGUGGGGUGCUCGAGUGGCGAACGGGUGAGUAACACGUGAGUAACCUGCCCUUGACUUUGGGAUAACUUCAGGAAACUGGGGCGAAUACCGGAUAGGAGCUCCUGCUGCAUGGUGGGGGUUGGAAAGUUUCGGCGGUUGGGGAUGGACUCGCGGCUUAUCAGCUUGUUGGUGGGGUAGUGGCUUACCAAGGCUUUGACGGGUAGCCGGCCUGAGAGGGUGACCGGCCACAUUGGGCCUGCGAUACGGCCCAGCCUCCUACGUGGGGCAGCAGUGGGGAAUAUUGCACACUGGGCGGAAGCCUCAUGCAGCAACGCCGCGUGCCGGAUGACGGCCUUCGGUUUGUAAACCGCUUUCGCCUGUGACGAAGCGUGCGUGACGGUAAUGGGUAAAGAAGCACCGGCUAACUCCGUG